Molecule: ribosomal RNA, 460 nt
Filed under: uncultured bacterium
Lineage: Bacteria
Description: partial 16S ribosomal RNA
Rfam family: Bacterial small subunit ribosomal RNA
Source: RNAcentral
CCUACGGGUGGCAGCAGUGAGGAAUAUUGGUCAAUGGACGAGAGUCUGAACCAGCCAAGUAGCGUGAAGGAUGACUGCCCUAUGGGUUGUAAACUUCUUUUAUAUGGGAAUAAAAUGUUCCACGUGUGGGAUUUUGUAUGUACCAUAUGAAUAAGGAUCGGCUAACUCCGUUCCAGCAGCCGCGGUAAUACGGAGGAUCCGAGCGUUAUCCGGAUUUAUUGGGUUUAAAGGGAGCGUAGGUGGAUUGUUAAGUCAGUUGUGAAAGUUUGCGGAUCAACCGUAAAAUUGCAGUUGAAACUGGCAGUCUUGAGUACAGUAGAGGUGGGCGGAAUUCGUGGUGUAGCGGUGAAAUGCUUAGAUAUCACGAAGAACUCCGAUUGCGAAGGCAGUUCACUGGACUGCAACUGACACUGAGGCUCGAAAGUGUGGGUAUCAAACAGGAUUAGAUACCCGGGUAGUC